CUCCCAGAAUUUCUUUCUUUUCGAUCUAAUCCUAGCUUCAUCACUGUCCUUGAAGCAGCUAUGACCACCUCCUGAGUGAACAAUGUUCACAAUUAGUGGGUGAGUUACAGAAUGAACUCAAAAUAGAGUUCUAAAGAAAGGCCAGACAAGAAAUGCCAAGCCUCAUAAAUGAAAGAAUUCCUCAAGACAGCCAGAAGUCCUUUCUUUGUGGCAGCAGCAGAUCAUAUUCAUAAAUAUCUCAAGCUAUUAAUGUGAGUAAAGCCAUACGAGAAGUACCAAAAGAUUAGAUCUAGUUACUCUUAAAAGUGUAAUCAUAGCAUUUUAAGACCCCAGUCUCUAUUACUCUUGAACUGAUAUAGGGCAACUUCAUUAAAGUUCAACUAAUUUCGGUUCUAUUGAUAUAUGUUUUACUAGUAUGUACUCUAUGGUUAUAAAUUUCCAGGAAAAGCAAAUAAAAGAAUCAAUCAAGAUAUAA
Long non-coding RNA from Gossypium arboreum, 475 nucleotides. RefSeq lists it as uncharacterized. Lineage: Eukaryota; Viridiplantae; Streptophyta; Magnoliopsida; Malvales; Malvaceae. The transcript has 2 exons. The record is from RefSeq and is a predicted model, not a curated record.